UAAGAACUUUGAUCUCUUUGCUGCCUCUAGCCAUUGAGCAGUUUUGUCUCCCCUUUGUGUAAAUCACAGGCUGUUCUUCUCAUUCCAAUUUGGCAAGAAUGGCAGGUAUGCCUGUGUCAAAUUGCCUGCAUAACCUUCACUGCUUUAAGGCACACAUUGACAUUAAGUUGUCUCGGUGUGACGGUGUCUAAGGUAUCAGGUUUAUCUCUGCCACGUCAAGGUAGAGUCACCUUCUGCAUUGACUUUUUCAGCUAACUUGAUUGAAGUCAGUCUGUGCCCUCGGCUCUGCCUUCUGUGCCGAAUGGCAUGACAACGCGAGUCCCUGCAAACAGAGACCACAAGGAAAGCCUAGCUCCGGUGAAGUCCAAACUCCUGUUAAUUUUAUCACAGCACCCUUAGGAUACAUGGCUGUGCUAGUCUUUCCAUUCAGAAGAUGAAGAAAUGAGACAUAGAGGGCUGACAUCAUUCAAAAACAUUGGCACCGAGUUGACACCUCUAGUUGAAUCUUCAGUACCUUCUCCUCCCUAUAAAAGUGAUACUGCAGAACAGAACAAGUGCAGACUGGUGGUACAGUAAGUGGACACCUUGCACUGUUAAUUAUUUCUGAGGAUAAACAGAAAACUUUCAUUUCCAAGGUAGUAAGAAUGUAUGUUGUACUACAAAACAGAGCAAACAGACUUGACAGCUUAUCCUUUGUCCCUUCUUGAUGGUUAAUUCAGUGUAUUAAUACAAGACAGAGGAUGCACUACCCAAACCUGAAUUUUCUUCCCAGUACUGCCCAUGACAUGAAGUGCCUCAAUUCCUCCAUCUUUACACAGAAGAUGAUAGAAUGCACGUAUCGUUAUAGAGUACUUUGAGCUUCACUGUUACAAGGUACCAUAAGUACUAAAGAUCUAUGUUUCAAUAUCACAUAUAAUCACAAUGCUGAAAUUCCAUUGCCAAUUCAAUUUUCAGAAAUGGCGUCAAUAGACGUGGUUUGAAAUACUUUGCUUUGCUUUGCCAACAGGAAAAAGUUACAGAGUCUGGAAACAUUCCUGAUGCAAAAAAAAGGAAAACAAAAAACCACUGCCACAUCAAAUUCUGUUGUGUUGUACCAGGAUUCUCUAUUUGCUCCACUGCUUUCCAUCACAUUACACACAGGCUUGAGGCAGCCUGACAGUGCUGUUCUUGUACUGUGGAAGCUUGCAAGAAGCAUGCAGGUGCUCAACCCAGCGCAGUGGCUCCUUUGCAUGAGGCUGUGAAUGGAUAAAGAGUAAGAUA
Struthio camelus australis is the source of this 1260-nucleotide long non-coding RNA. RefSeq lists it as uncharacterized. Lineage: Eukaryota; Metazoa; Chordata; Aves; Struthioniformes; Struthionidae. The record is from RefSeq and is a predicted model, not a curated record.